AAAAGUUGAUUUAGAGGAUUUCUAACGCACGCAUAAUCUGGAAUGAAUUUGUUGUAAACAUUAAUGGCGCCUAGGAAAAAUAACUUAUCUUAUUUGGUGCUUUAGUUGGAUGGCUGGAAAAUUUCUUCCACUAAAAUCUUGAAAAACUACAUUUUUGGACUAAUUUCUCAGGAGCUCUGUUCGAACUCCCCACUGCUAAAUUUGGAUUCACUUCAUUUGCUUUUUUACAAUUAAGGCAAUUCGCUGCCCUCUGGCAGUCCUUUGAUAGGUGUCCAUGAGCACCACAUCUAGCGCAAUUAUGGCCUUCAGCAAUACAAGUCUUUGUCUUGUGAAAUCCAAGGCAUUUUGCGUAUCGAUUUACCAAAAAAAUUUCAAACCACUUCAAAACCCUCCACCCAAAUUUGAGGCGAAAAAUGCCAUUUUCAAGAGUAGAUUGAAUUUUUAAUUUUUUAAAUGAUAAAGAAUCAAUUGAUGCCAAAUAAUCUAUUUUAUUAUAUAUAUACACUUGGUUCUUUUUUUAUGCGGUAGAUGCGUUCCAGGGGAAUCCGCAUAAAAAAAAAUCGCACAAAAAAAGACAUACAUUUAUAUGUAAAAUGAUGGAUACGUUCCAUUUAUUAAAAAAAUCGCAUAAAACCUAAAUAAUGUUUUAAAAUGCACCAGAAAUCGCAUAAAAAAGAUUUAUAAAUAAUAAGAUUUAAUUUUUUUCUCAUCAUAUUUUAAUAAAUGGCACAUAUGUGUGUUAAUAACAAAAACAAAACUUAAUAUGUAAAAAAAACAUAAACAAAACUUUUAUUUAAAAUCAUAUUAAGAAUGUUUUCAUCAUUAUUCGCUGUCUGAUAAUGUGCGAACCCGUUUGUGGAUUGGUGCAAGAUCACUUUCAUCACUUGAAGAUAAAAUUACGUCAUCAGAUCUACAUGGUAAUGCUUCUUUAGGAACUUCAGUGAUUUUUUUUCUUUGACAAGGUAGUCAGUAAUCAAACGCUGUGAUGGCUUGACUAGUUCUUUGUAGAGUUCUCUGUAGCCAGACAUACAAAAUUUCAGAUCACGUUGGAAUUUUAAGGCGCGUUCUACAUCAUUAUCAUUUUGAAUAAAAAAAAAUUCCAAUUUACCGGAAAGUUGAAGGCCUUCCCGAAGUAAUUUUUCGUCCAGUGGAGUAACAUCUUCCAGUUCGCUAUCUACACUGUUUCGAAAUCUUUAGUAGUAUCUACCAUACUUUCCAAAAUAUCAUCAUCAUUUAGGGCUUCGUCCACAAGCAAUUCUUCUAUAUCAUGCUCGCCAAAAUCAUCAAAACCUUCCCCACCUAUUUCCUUAGCAAUUGAAAUAAUAUCUGAUGUUACUAUUGUUGUUCAAUUUGAUUCAUUUCUCUUUGAUACGCAUUCAGGCCAAGCAGCUUUCCAACAUGCAUUUAAAAUUUGUGAUUUUAUCUCGGCAAUUGCUAACGCAACAUGAUCUACACAGUUCAAGAUAUUAAAUUGUUUCCAAACUUCAGUAACUGUUAUUGUAUCGGAUUCCAGUUUAUCGAAAAUGAAUUGGAAAGUGAAUUUUACAUAUUAUUUUUUAAAUGUUGAAAUAAUUCCCUGAUCUAAUGGUUGAAUUAGGCUCGUUGUGUUUGGAGGGAAAAAAACUACCUUUAUAUUUGGAUGUUCUAAGUUUGGAUGACCUGGUGCAUUGUCAAGAAUUAAUAAGAUCUUAAAUUCGAGACCCAUCUCUUUCAUAUAAUUUUCUACUUCGGGUACGAAGCAUUUAUUGAACCAUUCAGUGAAAAUAGCCGUUGUUACCCAGGCCUUCUUGUUUGCCAUCCAAUGUACGGGCAGUGUAUUUAAGUCUUUUCCUUUUAAUGCACGUGGUUUUAAAGAUCGAUUUACAAGCAGUGGUUUUAACAUUCGAUCGCCAGAUGCAUUGCUGCACAGCAAUAAAGUAACUCGAUCUUUAGCAGCUUUAAAACCACUGGCAUUUUUUUCGGACUUUGCAAUGUAAGUACGGGUUGGCAUUUUUUUCCAAAACAAUCCUGUUUCUUCAGCAUUGAAGAUUUGAUGGGCACAAUAUCCUCCAUCUUUAAUAAUUUUAGCCAACUUUUCAGGAUUUUUUCUAGCAGCUUCUUCAUCUGCAGAAGCCACCUCACCUUUUAUUUUUAGAUUAUGAAAAGAAUGUCUUUUUAUAAAACCAGUUAACCACCCUGUGCUGGCAGAGAAUUGUGGAUUACUUUCACGUGAAGAUGUAGAUGGCUCUGAUUCUUUUAACUCCUUGUAAAAUUUAAGGGCUUUCAUCUUGAUUAAAUGUCCAUCUAACGGAAUUCUUUUUUGAGUUAAAUCUUCAAUCCAAAUUACGAGAGCCUUUUCUGUUUUUUCUAUUAAAGUGCCUCUUGAAUAUGAUGAAAUUUUAGAACUCAAAUUUGUACCAGAUCUGACUGAUCUUCUUAUUGCCGCAUCAUUUUUUUUAUUGCUCUUAUAGUAGAUUCGCCUAAAUUAUAACGUUUACCUAUUGCUGUUGAUCUUUCUCCUUUCGCCAAGCAAUCGAGAAUUAUAAUUUUGGUUUCUAGCGAAAUUGCACUUCUUUUUUGUUUUUUAUUAUUGUCACACAUUUUCUUUAAGAGGACUAAAAAUUAUAGAAAAAAUUUAAUGUACAAUUACGCACUAAAAUUAUUAAAAAAACUUACUAUUCACUUGAGUAAAUUUAUCUUCCGGUUUUCGGUAGUAACCUUCUUUCACAAAGUUUUAUUUUCUAAUGCUUUCCAAUAUGCAGGCUUUUUCAAUUAGUUUCAUACAAAAACAAAAUGCAGCAUAAAAACACGCAAUUUUAACGAGGUAUUUUUGUUUUUGUCCCUUUUGUUUUUAAGAACAAAUCAAGAGAAAACAUGUCAAUAAAAGAAAAAAGAAAUUUGUAACGGCAGCUGGCACGCCGGCGGGUUUUCAGUUUUGAUUUCGGUUUUGCACGAGUUGUGUAAGACACCGGCAGGCGCGGAAUAAAAGACAUUGGAACUUCCCCUCUACUGUUUGUUGGAUAACUUAACAUACAACCAGGACGUUACAAAAUUCUUUCUUUGUAUUGAUUGCGUAAUAGUAGAGUUGUAGUUGUUAUUCUUAUUCGUUUUCAGAAAAAGUGAAUCACCAAAAAAAAAAUUUUAGAAAUUCGAAUAAAUUUUUUUUUCUUGCACCGCAUAACUCCAAAACCGCAUAAAAAAAAACCGCAUAAAAAGAGAACGAAGUGUAUAUAUAUUUUUGCGCUAAAAAGAUUUAUUUCAAUAUUUUCAUGUUUUAAACUUGAUGAAUGACUUGAAUGAAAUUAUUGAGGGUGUCCGCAAGGUUCUUCACCUCCCCAACUAGGCACUUGAUCAUCUCUGUCCGCUGCUCAAUGAAGCAGGCAAGGUUCAGAUGAAGGGAUUUGAGGGAAAGCUGCCAGAGGGAGUGCAGGAUCUGGUAGUGGUGGGAGAUACCAUGUCCUCCUCCACCAGAGGUGCAAUGUCCACCGAGGGUUGAAAAGGCUUGGAGGGAUCCAUGAUGGGAGAGCAGAAAGGCAGAGGUGUUUCCAGAGCAUGAGCUAGCUGGAAACUGAUCUCUGAGAAACGGAUGAGAUGAUCUGAUUAUACAAGGUCAUGGAGACUGAAAAUUCAUGGAUUAAAUUUAUAAUCUUGGUAGGGUUGUAAUAUAAGUCCUGUCUUGAGGCUCCCAUACAUUCCAAGAGGUGGUCCUGCAGAUGGUGCAUUGUGGGAAGACACCAACCUGGAAAAGGAGCGAUUCUUUCUAUUCCGGGUUAAUUGGCCUUUUAAAGCAUGGUCUUCAAACCCCUAUGGCAGAACGCCAUUUCCAGUUGCAAGGGACCCUAGGAUCUGGCAGCAAAGAUGUCUCGCAGGGGUGGAGGAAACGUAGAGAUGGCAGGGGAACAGCGUCUGGGAGCAGUGAGUGGCAGGAGUCUUGGCUGGGGAGGAAAUCCAGUAGGUGAGGACAGUGAAGGCAGCAGGUCCUGGAAGCUUAGAAUUUGAGAGCCCUAGACCUCAGGAAAGAGCAGCCAGAGGCUCUCGCCUCUUGUUUGUCCGGAAGGCCCUUGGCACAGCAGUUGGCACACUUGGUGGUGUGCUGGUUGGCUAGGGAUGGACAGGCACGGCCCUCGUGACCUUCUUCACCGCAGUGGAAGCACUUUGGAGCCCUGGAGCAUUGUCCGGAGUUGUGACCAAAAUAACAAUAUUGUCAUCAAAGUUCUGUUUUAGAUUAUUGAGUUUGAAAGCCAAAUUUCCUUAAUUACUUAUGUUGGCCUCAAGGUCUACAUUUGUAUCAAAUUUAUGUGUCAAAUUCUUGUAACAGCUUAAUUGUUCAUCAUCUCUUUCAAAUAUUCUGCAUAUGGCGUCAUACAUUGAUUUGGCAUUUUCAAAAUGUAUUAUGUGCUGCUCAUCCAGCCUUCAGCGCCUGGAGCACGAGGCGUACUCAAGACGCCUGGUCAGCAGUCUUGAAUUUGGACGUAUUCACCUCCGGGCCUUCCAUCGCCCAAAGGUCAUUAGCGGUUGCCGCCCAGGUGUUAGGGACGGCAGCACCUCGAAAAAUGAAAUUCCGCCUCUAGAAUCCUGCUUAAUGUGAGGUCGUCGACUGUGGGAGCGUUGUCGAGCCCACCCUGCUCGGGAAUUCCGAGCACUUGCUCUAUAUCUAGUGGUGAGAGGUGAGAAAGUUCGCCUGGCAUACACACAUCCUGUGGUGAUCCGAGAACAUGCAUCAAAUCGUCCGCUGAAAGUUCUUCCAUACAGAUAUCUCCCGAUGGUCCGAGAUAUUGUUCCAAUUAAUUGAGCGCACUUGCCUCCAAGCGUAGACACCUAAAAAAAAAAAAUAAUAAAUAUAUAUAUCAGGUUAAUUCCAUUCCAAAUGAAAAAAACAUUAGCGUAUUGGUUAACUCCAUUGCUCUAAUGUUUUUUUUUUUUUUUUUUUGUUUUGCUAGGUUCAAAUCUCAUUACCCGGUCCCAGCUCAUAAAAACUUUAUGAUCUUCUUCAGUAUAAUUAGGAUUCUUUCUUCUGUCAAUAAAUUUAAUUUGAAAUAAUGAAAAUUUCUUCAGCCAUUUUAAAUUUUGCCCAAAAGUUUCAAGAUUGAGAUGUUUUUUGAUGAAGUCAUUAAACAAAAAGGUUUUCUUCUGUUUCUUGGUUGUGUACAUGUGUCACAUUUGUGUGAGAACCUGGUAGGCGUGUGGUGUCAGAUGGGCUUACCACCAGAGCAUCGUGUUUGUGUCACGUGUUACACAGUGUGCAUCAGCGACCUGGUUGUUAUUACCAGGAGGUAAACAAACCUGGUCACGUGACAACGUGUGCAGAAACAUGCGCAAUAGGAUGGCCAAACUCGUCGAGACGAGUGGCAGAACAAGGACGCAUGUCACGUGACCAAACAGACAUGGGUGCAAUAACCUGGUCGAUCGCCGGGCCGCGUGGCUCGCCGCUGGUCCCCGAGUCAUGUGACCGCGCAGGCGUGAUUUCCGCUGUGUCAAGUACGAGACUUGGCAACGUGGAAAUCCCACCAGAAGCACUGUCCCGCGAACAGGGCCCAGCAGAAGUGCCAGGCCAAGAAAUUGGUGAAAUAAUUGCCUGCAUUUAAAAAUAUAUAAUAAAUAAUCAAAAUUGAUUUCUCCUCUUUAAUUUCUUUUAUUUUAUGCAGGGCUUUUCUGAACCGGGCUUUGCUUGAUUUGAAAUAAGUUGUGGACUUACCAACUUUAUGUCCUUUUACCCGGUCCCAGCUCAUAAAAACUUUAUGAUCUUCUUUAGUAUAGGUAGUAUUUUUUCUUGUGUCAAUAUAUUUAACUUGAAAUAUUAUAUUUUUCUUCAGCCAUUUCAAUUUUUUCCCAAAAUUUCCAAGAUUAAGAUGUUUUCUUAGGAAAUCAUUAUACAAUAAUGUCGGAAGAAAACGGCUCCUGGGCCGCUGGCUGAGUCGAGUGUUCUGGCUCCUCCAGGGCCGCGGUGUCGCUUCCUGGUGUCUUCUUGCUCCUCGUAGAUGGUGCGCUCUUUUGGGCCAGUUUUUCAACCGUAGAGCAAUCCUGGUGGUGUUUCUGCAGGUCUUUGAAGCUUUGUUGGCAGACCGUGCAGUCAAAAACCACGUUGUUGAUCUUGUGUAGAACACGAAGGUGCUUCACCAGAUCGUUGUGCUGCUUGUAGACACCACUGCGGGUUACUCUCGCCAUCCCGUAACACUCGGGACAUUUAAAGACCUCAGGUAGCUGGAACGGCAUCCUAAACGGAUCACAAAGAGCAGGGGCAAGGUUGUGUACAUGUGUCACAUUUGUGUGAGAACCUGGUAGGCGUGUGGUGUCAGAUGGGCUUACCACCAGAGCAUCGUGUUUGUGUCACGUGUUACACAGUGUGCAUCAGCGACCUGGUUGUUAUUACCAGGAGGUAAACAAACCUGGUCACGUGACAACGUGUGCAGAAACAUGCGCAAUAGGAUGGCCAAACUCGUCGUGGUCGUGGGUGAGUGAUGGGAUUCCCGCACGGGGACAGCAAGGAAAAGAGGCAGGUCUAGAUGGUAGCUCCAAGAGGUAGAGAUAGACCACGGACGAAGGCAGUCGGACCAUGGGCGCCGCGGAUGCCCUAAGCCUACUCGCGGAUAGAAGGGGUGAGAGAUCCGACCGACCGUAUAACGGCGUCACUCUUACUGUAUAUAUAUAGACAUUAGAUGUUUUAUGCAAACUUACCAACUCCUUACAUUCUAUCUACAACACGAUAUAAUAUAAAAUCUGUAAUCGAAAUUGAUUCCACCUUUUUAACUUGUUUGAUGCUAUUAAUAGCUAUUCGGAACCGCGCUUUGCUGGCCGCGAAAGAAGCUGUAGACUCAUCAACUUCACGUCCUUUAGCACGGUCCCACUCCAAAAAAACUAUAUGGUCUUCUUUUGUACAUUUAUUUUUUCUUGCAUCCACCCAUUUUAUUUUGAAUAUGUUGUUACUUAUCCACUUUAAAUUUUCUUGGAAAGUCCCGUUAUUUAGGUGUUUCUUUAGAAAAUCAUUGUAUAACAAUGGUUUCGGGCCUAUUCUGGGAGGAGGAGCGUAGGAUGCUCUUUGUAGCAUCUAUAUGUGUUCUUUGUGACUUACAUAUCUUGGUUUUGUGGUGUGUCGAUUUAUUAGUCCAGCGAUGGCUCAGAAAGUCUUUCAGAGUUGCUAUUUCAUCAGUGGUGUUAUAUUGCUCUAGAUCAUGAUUAGGAGAUUUAAAUUGUCUGCGGAAUUUCUGUGAAAGCAAGGGUAAAUUAAUUAUCUUGUAUAUGAGAACCUCUCCCUUCAUUUUCUCAGCCCUUGCAAUCUUUACCAUUAUGAUUCUAUUUGUCUCUCCUGUCCUUAUAAUAGUAUAAAUGUUCUGGCAUAAGCGAUAUGAUAUUCCCACCACCCUUGUCUAUAAUAAUACGAUUAUAAAAGAUGACGAUUAAUAUAUAGAGAUAAUAGUUCCUCCAAGGAUAGGUUCAGGUUAUAUAGUUUAUAAUUUCUUGGAGGAACAUUUGUUCUGCGGAGCCGGGCUUGCAGGGUGGCGUCAUCUUGCGGUCCCUCGCUCGUCCGCUCGAGUUGCUGGAUGAAGUUGCUUGCUGCGUAGGAUCCGUCGAAAGGAAAGAUGAGGGCUUCCUCCGUACGAGGCACUCCUAUUCCCCGAAUGGCGUCUGUUAGGCGGCUUACUAGGUCUUCGCAGUGGGGUUGCAUGUUGGUGAGGGCAUCCCCGAAGUAUUCGUCUCUGACCUCCGUCAUCCUCUGCAUGUUGUUGUCCUCAGUUAUCCUGUCGACUUAAACGGGUUCUGUAGUAACCCCGACCAAGCCGACGUGGAAUGUACUGGGCAGUCGUGGUCGUGGGAGCGUGAUGGGAUUACCGCACGGGGACAGCAAGGAAAAGAGGAAGGUCUAGAUGGUAGCUCCAAGAGGUAGAGAUAGACCACGGACGAAGGCAGUCGGACCACGGGCGCCGCGGAUGCCCUAAGCCUACUCGCGGAUAGAAGGGGUGAGAGAUCCGACCGACCGUAUAACGGCGUCACUCUUACUGUAUAUAUAUAGACAUUAGAUGUUUUAUGCAAACUUACCAACUCCUUACAUUCUAUCUACAACACGAUAUAAUAUAAAAUCUGUAAUCGAAAUUGAUUCCACCUUUUUAACUUGUUUGAUGCUAUUAAUAGCUAUUCGGAACCGCGCUUUGCUGGCCGCGAAAGAAGCGUACAAACUCUAAUACAAAUUACCUACUCAUAGAUAAAUAUUAUUUAUACUUAAACAAAAUUAGUAAAGUUUGAUUGUUAACAAUCAAUGCUGAAAUCUAACCUAACACUUUAACAAGGUGUCUAACAGUCUGAAAAUCUUCUUAUCUUGACACAUGGUGUCUAAACAAAUGAAUCAUCAAACUAGCACUUAAAUGGAGCGAACUGAACUUCAAGCAUUUACCUCAUUGCCAAAAAAUAUGAUAGGUCUACAAGUGUUUUGCCAACGCUGCUUCGCAUAUAGGAUCACUAGCAUUCUUCUCUCCCUGCUAUUCAGCUAAACUCUUUCUUUGGACUUAUAGGGCAUUCAGUACCCAGCUCGUUCUGGAGUUUAACAACAGAGAUGACUUGCUAUCCUAUUACAUCAAUUCUUAGACUGUAAUUGCCUUACACACUCUCAUUAGAAAUUCUCUUUGGACUGUAUAACUGGACCCAGGGAUUUACAGGGAGUCAAGUUCUACCCAACGCAAGCUCCAAGUCAUUCCAUAGAGAAUAUGUUACAAGCACAGCAAUUGUCUGGUGCGUCUAAGCCCCUUAAUUGUUUUUAAAGUUGAACCACUGCUCAAAACCUGCAAUAAAAAAAAUCGAAACAAAAUACACUGUUGAACACUCAACUUAAUUCACAACUUGCUAUCAAUACAGAAUAGCUUCUCCAAAAAAAAAAACUGAAAUUUCUUUACGACCACAAUCUAGGGCCUUUAACUCACAUUCUAACACUUCAUACUAUGAUCAAAAUUUAACUAACUCUAGUACACAUUCUAUAGGUUCAAAUCAAUGGCAACCUGGGCAUGAUUUACAAUCAGUGGGUCUCUUGACCCUGGUGGAACGGCGUAAUUCAGGGCCGUCAAUAUUGUCACCAUUUGCCCUAUUUACUACCUCAGGUGGGUUCCCUAAGGUUGCUGUCUCUCGUGGUUCUACAGUUCUAUGGGAAUAUAGGGGAUACGUUGGAUGUACCCAGUGAUCCUCAUCAUCAGUGAUACUAUCUAUUUGUUCUUGUUUGUUUCCGCCCCCCGUAGGGUAAGUCUUUACCGGUGCAUGAUAGGCCUUCAUUCUGUCUAUGUGAAUCUUGUCCAAGUGCCCCGUCUCCAACUCCUUCAAAAGAUAAACAGUGUCGCCUGUCCUUUGUAGUACCUCAUAAGGUCCUCUAUACCUUGGCUCAAAUUUGUGACGUCCUUUCGUCUCAUGCAUUCUCUUCACCAAAGCUAGAUCCCCAGUCUCAAAGGUCCUUAAUUCUCUAGCUUCAAACUCAGCCCUGGCUUCUUGUUGCUCCUUCAAGUAAGUCUGCCUCACCACCUCUCUCGCCCUUUCAACCUCCUCCACCAAUUCCCGCUCAUAGAAUGCCGCCAUUUCGGUAAUUGAAUCCUCGCAUACAGGACUAAGCUCCUCUUCCUGGAAAGGUUGUGGGAGCCUCAGCUCAUGUCCGAAGACCAGUUUCGCUGGAGUAAAUCCAGUACUAGAGUGUACAGUGGUCCUGAUAGCUAAGGCUACCAUUGGUAAGGUGGUAUCCCAAUUGUUCCCCGCUGUACACCUGCGUAGAGAUUCUAUUACCGUCCUAUUGAGCCUUUCUACGGCGCCAUUACUCUGAGGUCUCCAGGCCGUGGUAUUUACUGCACCAACCCCCAUAGCCUUGCAGACUCCCUUGAAUACGCAACUCAUGAAUGCUGAUCCUCGGUCAGAGAGUAUCGUUUUUGGUACCCCAAAGGUAGUGAUGUUCCUUUCCAACAAGGCCCUAAUCACUGUAUUGGCACACUGGUCCUUAGUAGGAAUCAGGAUUGGGAACUUGGUGAAAAGAUCCACAAUGGUCAGAAUGCUAGAAUAACCCCGUGGGGUUAUUUCUAGGGGUCCUAUGAAGUCUAGAGCUAGGUGCUCAAAGGGUUUUUCGGGUCUAAAGUGGGGAGCACUAGCGGCUUUGGCUAUGCCAUGAUUCGAUAGCUGGCAGCUCUCGCAUCUGCGUAUAUAUUUCCGGACUUGUGUCCUCAUGCCAGGCCAGUAAUAGUCACCUUUCAGCCUUCUCAUAACCUUCCUAACUCCGAAAUGACCCCGAGUAGCGAUGUCAUGAUGAUAGCUGAUCACUGUUUCCCUAAAACCUGUAGGAACCACCUUCACCCAGGUACCCCUUUCAUUCUUUGUAACAAGGUAUUUGUCUAGUAACCUAUAUUCCCGAUUAUUAUACCUCUCCGUGCUAUUUGGUUUUAACUUCGUUAACUUAUCCAUUACUGGGGCCCAUCCUUUCUCUUGAAGUAAACCUUCCCAUAUCUGAUUACUAUUUAAUAAGGGGGGCCGACGGUCUCUUACCACCGUGGCCACUACCCUCCUAUCUUGUGGUAGGUUUGGAUCAUCCUCGCACGGGAACCUACUAAGGAAGUCGGCUAUCGUGUUUUCCUUCCCCGGGACAUAAAUGAAUGUAACGUUGAAGUCCUGGAUGAUCUCUGCCCACCUAGACAGUCGGGCGUUCUUAUAAUCAGACCCCUUAUUAUAAGUAAUCGGUUUAUGGUCAGUAUGUACUUCUACUUUACUGCCCGCCAGGAGGUGUUUAAAGUGUUGUAGGGACAACACUACUGCAUAAGCCUCCUUUUCUAUUGUGGAAUAGCGGAUCUCAGGACCAGUCAGUCUCUUGCUAUAAUAAGCAAUUGGCCUCACUGUCCCUUUGACCUCCUGUUGGAGGCAAGCGCCUACCGCUAUCCCACUGGCGUCAGUGUUCAGGAUGAAAGGAACCCCAAUUGUUGGGUGAAUUAGUAGUGGCUCGCUGGUUAAUAUUCCUUUCACCGUCUCAAAGGCUGACUGCUCUAUCACACCCCAAGCAAAUCUAUGUCCCUUCCUUAAUAGGUUGCUCAGUGGAGCCAGGACCUCACCUGCGUUGGGAAUAAAGCGUCGGUAGUAGUUAACUGUACCCAAUAGACUUCUGACUGCCUUGAUGUUAUGAGGUCGUUUCAAAUUCCUGAGAGCGGCGACAUUAUCCCACAUGGGUUUGAUCCCAUUUUGGUCGAUUACAUGACCCAGGUACUCUACUGAGUCCCUGAAGAGAUAGCUCUUUCCGUAUUUGGCCUUCAAACCGAACUUACUCAGGCGUUCGAGUACAGCGGCGAGGUCCGCCACAUGCUGCUCGUGAGAGUCGCUGUAGACAAUGACGUCAUCGAUGUACAGGCGAACGCAUUUGAACAACAAGUCACCCAGGACCAAGUUCAUGGCCCACUGGAAGACCUGUGCUGAGUUUUUAGCUCCCUGUGGCAAACGUGUGAAUCGAUAUCUCCCCCAGGGCAGAGAGAAGGUAAAAUAAUCUCUGUCACUCUCUGGGAUGUGGAUCUGGAAGAAUCCAGAAGUCAGAUCUAAUGUGCUGAAGACUUUUGCACCUGCAAAUGCGCGCAGAUUGUCUUCGACACGGGGUAUCGGGAACGGGAAGAAUUCAGUUGCCUCAUUGAUCAUACGUAGAUCCAUGGUGAUGCGAACACUACCAUCAGUUUUGGCAACCGGGAAUAGAGGGGAAUUCCACAGAGAGGUGCUCCCCUCUAUUAUCCCUACUUCCUCCAGUUCGUCUACUAACGCUUUCACCUUUGAGACUAGUUUAUUCGGGAUUGGAUAUUGCCUCCUAUAUACUGGCUUGCUAGUCAGCAUCCUCAGUUUAGGGGCUGUGAUGGUGGAGCCAUCCCCCAUAUCUUUUAUAUCAUUGCAGAAGCAAUGACUGAAGGCCCUGAAAAUAUCGUGGCCCAUGUGGAUCUCGUUUAGGGGUAUCCUGGGUGGUUGAGGAGACAUUUCUAUUGUUUGUAGUGAGGAGAGGAAGGCCGACUUGGUCGGAUCCUCCUUCCUUUCGUAGUCGGACCUAAUACUAUCGUCGUAGCUAAGGUGUAGUUUUAGAGCUCGGAAACCUGGUAAUCCGAGUAUGCCAUCAAAUCCUAAUUCCCCCAUGUGACAAUACUCGAAGGUCGUUCUUACUUCCCUAAUGGGCUUACCGUUCACCACUGCCCCUAUUUCUAACACCUCACACCCUAAUGACCUUAAAGAUUUUCCUGAUAUACCUUUAAGGUAAGUAGGCUUGUCUAGUCCCUCAGUGCAUAAAUUUAGAUUGUCAAUAUUUACAAUGUUGGCCUCUGAGCCUGAAUCUAAGAUAAAUUUUAAACACUUCUCGUCCAGAGACCUCCCUUUAUUCAAAAUAUAUACAUUUAUGGCAGGUAAACUGGCCGCAAAUCCCCCUCCUGCCUUGAGGCAAGCCGGACCUAGUUUUUUCUCUGCUUCUGCUGGCAGUCUCGGAUGAGAUGCCCUGGCUCGCCGCACCCGUAGCACUUGGGGGGCGGUCUCCCUGCACCCUGCUUCUUGUGGUCCACUCCAGAGUUCUCCUCCCUUUCACCGUUGGGUCCCCUCCUUUGUUGUCUAGGCGGGGAUGGAUUCCGUUGUUGUCUGGGUGGUUGUUGUGCUGGUCUCCUCUGCCAGUUCCUGAAGGGGGCUCCCCUCCUGUUAUCCUGGGAGUUGUCUCCGUAAUCCCUUCUCCCUGCGGGGUGUGAUGACCACCUUCCUCCCCCGCUAUUUGUACUAUUGGCACUUCUUCUUUGUCCUCUAAGGGCUGCAUUCUCUAUUUCUAGUGCCUCCAUUUUCUUCUCCAGGUCGGCCAAUUUGUUGCCCAUGUCACCCAGCCUCUGGCCGUUCCUGUCGGCGCUGGAGCGCUGCGCCUCCCUAUAGUCUUCCUCCCUCUGUUCCAGCCACUGUAGUUUGCUUACUAGGGUUUCCCAGGGUUCGCCUUGGUAUAGAUGAGCCUUCUCCCACAGGCUGGGGCAGAGUCCGUCGAUGAAAACCUCCGCGAUUUCCGAGGUGCCUAUCUUCAGGCCGUCCGACUCUGCUCCCGCUGCAAGGUCGCUCACCCGCGCGGCGAAGUCUCGUACUUUCUCCCCGGCCCCUUGUCUACAUGAGAAGAACUGGCUUCUCAUCUCCCUUGUAGAGACCCUCUUUCGGAACCUCCCCUCUAGACUCUCCUUCAACUCUUCGUAUCCGAGGCGGAUUUGCUGAGAUUGUAGGGCAAACUCCCUCGCAGCCCCCCGGAGGUGGUUGUCCAAUAGGAUUCUCUUCCUGGCGUCGUCCAGGGCCUUUAGGUCGUAGACAAGCUCGAAGUCCUUUAUGAAUUUGUGAAGGGGACUAUGCCCUUCCCUUCAAACUUCUCCAGGUUGUACAGCAUGGAGGGCAGCUGGGCUUGGCUAGUUGCGGCGUUCUCUUCAUCGGCAGGCAUGGUCCUCAGUUGUUGGAUCUUCAGGAACUAGGUAUUAGUCAUUCACCCUGGUUGUAACUGUAGUAUCAGGACCCAUAGGGGCAGGCGGAGUAGGGAACACAACAGAAAGAAAAAGGGGGGGGGGUCCUUCCUUAAUCAUGUUCCUAAACACUAUGGGGUUCACGUUUCCAAAAGGAAACUGGUAUUCAAUAACAUAGAAACCAUACAUGUAAGUAUGUGUUGAUGUGAACGCAACCAUUGCGUGGUGAAAAUGAAGGUCCUAUAGAAGAAACCCGAGUGAUGUGACCGCAAAACAUUGCGUUGUGGAAAAUGAAGGUUCUAUAAAAGAAACCUGAGUGUGUUGUGAACGCAACCAUCGCGUUGUGAGAAUUGGAGAUUCUAUAAAGGAAACCCGUGUGAUGUGAACACAAACAUCGUGUUGCGAAAAGGACGAAGGUUCUACAAAGAAACCUGUGUGUUGUGAACACAAACAUCGUGUUGCUAAAGGACGAAGGUCCUACAAAGGAAACCCGUGUGAUGUGAACACAAACAUCGUGGUGCUAAAGGACGAAGGUUCUACAAAGAAACCUGGGUGUUGUGAACACAAACAUCGUGUUGCUAAAGGACGAAGGUUCUACAAAAGAAACCCGUGUGAUGUAAGAAAAAAAAUACUCCAAUUUUCAACAGCCUACAGACUUAUUUCAAUCAUCAAGAUAUUCUACUUAUAAACGAGGCCCCUUUGCCAAGAGCUACUUCCCAUAGGCGAUCAUAUGGAGGGAACCUUCAAAAGCUUAAUAUACCAGUAACUAUGACAAAGAUAUCCUCAACCCAAUGCAGGUUAUCUAAUUGACACAACCUGGUUGUUGUGAACACAAACAUCGUGUUGCGAAAAAAAAAAAAAAGGGCGAAGGUUCUACAAAGGAACCUGGGUGUUGUGAACACAAACAUCGUGUUGCUAAAGGACGAAGGUUCUAAAAAAGGUGUUGUGAACACAAACAUCGUGUUGCGAAAAGGGCGAAGGUUCUACAAAGAAACCUGGGUGUUGUGAACACAAACAUCGUGUUACGAAAAGGGCGAAGGUUCUACAAAGAAACCUGGGUGUUGUGAACACAAACAUCGUGUUGCGAAAAGGGCGAAGGUUCUACAAAGAAACCUGGGUGUUGUGAACACAAACAUCGUGUUGCGAAAAGGGCGAAGGUUCUACAAAGAAACCUGGGUGUUGUGAACACAAACAUCAUGUUGCGAAAAGGGCGAAGGUUCUACAAAGAAACCUGGGUGUUGUGAACACAAACAUCGUGUUGCAAAAAAAAAAAGGCGAAGGUUCUACAAAGAAACCUGGGUGUUGUGAACACAAACAUCGUGUUGCUAAAGGACGAAGGUUCUAAAAAAGGUGUUGUGAACACAAACAUCGUGUUGCGAAAAGGGCGAAGGUUCUACAAAGAAACCUGGGUGUUGUGAACACAAACAUCGUGUUACGGAAAAGGGCGAAGGUUCUACAAAGAAACCUGGGUGUUGUGAACACAAACAUCGUGUUGCGAAAAGGGCGAAGGUUCUACAAAGAAACCUGGGUGUUGUGAACACAAACAUCGUGUUACGAAAAGGGCGAAGGUUCUACAAAGAAACUUGGGUGUUGUGAACACAAACAUCGUGUUGCUAAAAGACGAAGGUUCUACAAAAGAAACCCGUGUGAUGUAAGAAAAAAAAUACUCCAAUUUUCAACAGCCUACAGACUUAUUUCAAUCAUCAAGAUAUUCUACUUAUAAACGAGGCCCCUUUGCCAAGAGCUACUUCCCAUAGGCGAUCAUAUGGAGGGAACCUUCAAAAGCUUAAUAUACCAGUAACUAUGACAAAGAUAUCCUCAACCCAAUGCAGGUUAUCUAAUUGACACAACCUGGGUGUUGUGAACACAAACAUCGUGUUGCGAAAAAAAAAGGGCGAAGGUUCUACAAAGAAACCUGGGUGUUGUGAACACAAACAUCGUGUUGCGAAAAGGGCGAAGGUUCUACAAAGAAACCUGGGUGUUGUGAACACAAACAUCGUGUUGCGAAAAGGGCGAAGGUUCUACAAAGAAACCUGGGUGUUGUGAACACAAACAUCGUGUUGCUAAAGGACGAAGGUUCUACAAAGGAAACCCGUGUGAUGUGAACACAAACAUCGUGGUGCUAAAGGACGAAGGUUCUACAAAGAAACCUGGGUGUUGUGAACACAAACAUCGUGUUGCUAAAGGGCGAAGGUUCUACAAAGAAACCUGGGUGUUGUGAACACAAACAUCGUGUUGCUAAAGGACGAAGGUUCUACAAAAGAAACCCGUGUGAUGUAAGAAAAAAAAUACUCCAAUUUUCAACAGCCUACAGACUUAUUUCAAUCAUCAAGAUAUUCUACUUAUAAACGAGGCCCCUUUGCCAAGAGCUACUUCCCAUAGGCGAUCAUAUGGAGGGAACCUUCAAAAGCUUAAUAUACCAGUAACUAUGACAAAGAUAUCCUCAACCCAAUGCAGGUUAUCUAAUUGACACAACCUGGGUGUUGUGAACACAAACAUCGUGUUGCGAAAAAAAAAAAGGGCGAAGGUUCUACAAAGAAACCUGGGUGUUGUGAACACAAACAUCGUGUUGCGAAAAGGGCGAAGGUUCUACAAAGAAACCUGGGUGUUGUGAACACAAACAUCGUGUUGCGAAAAGGGCGAAGGUUCUACAAAUAAACCUGGGUGUUGUGAACACAAACAUCGUGUUGCGAAAAGGGCGAAGGUUCUACAAAGAAACCUGGGUGUUGUGAACACAAACAUCUUGUUGCGAAAAGGGCGAAGGUUCUACAAAGAAACCUGUGUGAUGUGAACACAAACAUCGUGGUGCUAAAGGACGAAGGUUCUACAAAGAAACCUGGGUGUUGUGAACACAAACAUCGUGUUGCGAAAAGGGCGAAGGUUCUACAAAGAAACCUGGGUGUUGUGAACACAAACAUCGUGUUGCUAAAGGACGAAGGUUCUACAAAGGAAACCCGUGUGAUGUGAACACAAACAUCGUGGUGCUAAAGGACGAAGGUUCUACAAAGAAACCUGGGUGUUGUGAACACAAACAUCGUGUUGCUAAAGGGCGAAGGUUCUACAAAGAAACCUGGGUGUUGUGAACACAAACAUAGUGUUGCUAAAAGGGCGAAGGUUCUACAAAGAAACCUGGGUGUUGUGAACACAAACAUCGUGUUGCGAAAAAAAAAAGGCGAAGGUUCUACAAAGAAACCUGGGUGUUGUGAACACAAACAUCGUGUUGCUAAAGGACGAAGGUUCUAAAAAAGGUGUUGUGAACACAAACAUCGUGUUGCGAAAAGGGCGAAGGUUCUACAAAGAAACCUGGGUGUUGUGAACACAAACAGUGUUGCUAAAAGGGCGAAGGUUCUACAAAGAAACCUGGGUGUUGUGAACACAAACAUUGUGUUGCUAAAGGAAGAAGAUUCUACAAAAGAAGCCCGUGUGAUGUAAGAAAAAAAAUACUCCAAUUUUCAACAGCCUACAGACUUAUUUCAAUCAUCAAGAUAUUCUACUUAUAAACGAGGCCCCUUUGCCAAGAGCUACUUCCCAUAGGCGAUCAUAUGGAGGGAACCUUCAAAAGC
Molecule: non-coding RNA, 16975 nt
Organism: Cordylochernes scorpioides
Lineage: Eukaryota; Metazoa; Arthropoda; Arachnida; Pseudoscorpiones; Chernetidae
Source: the annotation of a GenBank genome assembly